RNAcentral lists this long non-coding RNA (200 nucleotides) under Lathyrus oleraceus (garden pea). RNAcentral's name for it is "Pisum sativum (pea) long non-coding RNA (PSAT_LNC040465)". Lineage: Eukaryota; Viridiplantae; Streptophyta; Magnoliopsida; Fabales; Fabaceae. The record is from RNAcentral.
AAUUUUUCAAUUGUUUUUCUCAAUAGGAACAUUGUUGGUAUUUACAUAUUUAUUGCAUUGUUGAUAUAUGACUACUAGGUCAGCCUAUCUGCCAAAAAUUGGUUCGCAUAUGCAUCCCCUAAAUUUUCUAGGGUGAAUUCGGAGAUGCAUCUCUGAAAACUCCCCUGAAGUCAUUUACACAACGUUUUUCAUUGAAAUCG